AGGGUGCAGGGCGGAUGCCUUGGCACUAGGAGCCGAUGAAGGACGUGAUAAGCUGCGAUAAGCUUCGGGGAGUUGCACGUAAACUUUGAUCCGAAGAUUUCCGAAUGAGGAAACUCACUUAGAGUAAUGUCUAAGUAUCAUUAAGUGAAUACAUAGCUUAAUGAGGGGAACUCAGGGAACUGAAACAUCUAAGUACCUGAAGGAAGAGAAAGAAAUUCGAUUCCGUAAGUAGCGGCGAGCGAACGCGGAUUAGCCCAAACCAAUAAAGUUUUCUUUAUUGGGGUUGCGGACAUAUCAUAACGAAGAGGUAUCGUAAUUGAAGAGGUUUGGAAAGACCCACCACAGAAGGUAAUAGUCCUGUAUGUUAAACGAGAAGACUUUAGAUAUGAUCCAGAGUACCACGGGACACGUGAAACCCUGUGGGAAGCAGGAGGGACCACCCUCCAAGGCUAAAUACUACCUAGUGACCGAUAGCGUAUAGUACCGUGAGGGAAAGGUGAAAAGAACCCCGGGAGGGGAGUGAAAUAGAACCUGAAACCCUGCACUUACAAGCUGUGGAAGCACAUUUCUUGUGUGACCGCGUACUUUUUGUAGAACGGGCCAACGAGUUACGUUAAGUAGCAAGGUUAAGCACUUAAGGUGCGGAGCCGUAGCGAAAGCGAGUUUUAACUGAGCGUUCAGUUACUUGACGUAGACCCGAAACCGGGCGACCUACCCAUGAGCAGGAUGAAGCGAAAGUAAAAUUUCGUGGAGGUCCGAACCCACGAGCGUUGAAAAGCUCGGGGAUGACUUGUGGGUAGCGGUGAAAUUCCAAUCGAGCCCGGAGAUAGCUGGUUCUCCCCGAAAUAGCUUUAGGGCUAGCCUCAAGGUGAGAGAUACGGAGGUAGAGCACUGAAUGUCCUAGGGGGUAUUGCACCUACCGAAGACUAUCAAACUCCGAAUGCCGUCAUCUUAUACUUGGGAGUCAGACUGUGGGUGAUAAGAUUCAUAGUCGAAAGGGCAACAGCCCAGAUCGUCAGCUAAGGUCCCUAAAUGUAAGUUAAGUGGUAAAGGAUGUGGGAUUGCACAGACAACCAGGAUGUUGGCUUAGAAGCAGCCACUCAUUCAAAGAGUGCGUAAUAGCUCACUGGUCGAGUGAUCCUGCGCCGAAGAUUUCCGGGGCUAAAACUUACUACCGAAGCUACGGCAUCAGUAAUGAUGGGUAGGGGAGCUUCCCAUACGGGUUGAAGCAUGACCGUAAGGACAUGUGGACAGUAUGGGAGUGAGAAUGUUGGCAUGAGUAGCGAGAUGUGGGUGAGAAUCCCACAGGCCGUAAACCCAAGGUUUCCAGGGGAAGGUUCGUCCGCCCUGGGUUAGUCGGGACCUAAGCUGAGGCCGAAAGGCGUAGGUGAUGGACAACAGGUUGAUAUUCCUGUACUACCGAUAACCGUUUGAGAGAAGGGAUGACACAGUAGGAUAAGCUAAGCACACUGUUGGUUAUGUGUGCCCAAGCAUUGAGGCAGUCAAAGUAGGCAAAUCCGCUUUGAUAAUGCUGGGAUGUGAUGGGGAGCGAAAUUUAGUAGCGAAGUAGCUGAUUUCACACUGUCAAGAAAAGUCUCUAUCGAGGUUAAAGGUACCCGUACCGCAAACCGACACAGGUGGGUGAGGAGAGUAUCCUAAGGCCAGCGAGAGAACUGUUGUUAAGGAACUCGGCAAAAUGACCCCGUAACUUAGGGAUAAGGGGUGCCACCAUCAGGUGGCCGCAGAGAAUAGGCCCAAGCGACUGUUUACCAAAAACAUAGGUUUCUGCUAAGUCGCAAGACGAUGUAUAGGAGCUGACGCCUGCCCGGUGCUGGAAGGUUAAGGGGAUCUGUUAGAGCAAUCGAAGCAGUGAACUUAAGCCCCAGUAAACGGCGGCCGUAACUAUAACGGUCCUAAGGUAGCGAAAUUCCUUGUCGGGUAAGUUCCGACCCGCACGAAAGGCGUAACGAUUUGGGCACUGUCUCAACAACAGACUCGGUGAAAUUGUAAUUCCGGUGAAGAUGCCGGAUACCUGCGACAGGACGGAAAGACCCCAUGGAGCUUUACUGUAGCUUGACAUUGGGUCUUGGUACUACAUGUACAGGAUAGGUGGGAGGCUUUGAAACCAGGACGCCAGUUUUGGCGGAGCCAUCCUUGGGAUACCACCCUUGUAGUACUGGGACUCUAACCAUAGGCCAUGAAUCUGGUCUUGGGACACUGUCAGGUGGGCAGUUUGACUGGGGCGGUCGCCUCCCAAAAGGUAACGGAGGCGCUCAAAGGUUCUCUCAGUACGGUCGGAAAUCGUACGUAGAGUGUAAAGGCAAAAGAGAGCUUGAUUGCAAGACAUACAGGUCGAGCAAGGAUGAAAAUCGGACUUAGUGAUCCGGUGGUUCUGCGUGGAAGGGCCAUCGCUCAACGGAUAAAAGCUACCCUGGGGAUAACAGGCUUAUCUCCCCCAAGAGUCCACAUCGACGGGGAGGUUUGGCACCUCGAUGUCGGCUCAUCACAUCCUGGGGCUGUAGUAGGUCCCAAGGGUUGGGCUGUUCGCCCAUUAAAGUGGUACGCGAGCUGGGUUCAGAAC
Molecule: ribosomal RNA, 2581 nt
Filed under: Clostridioides difficile
Lineage: Bacteria; Bacillati; Bacillota; Clostridia; Peptostreptococcales; Peptostreptococcaceae
Description: bacterial LSU rRNA
Rfam family: Bacterial large subunit ribosomal RNA
Source: RNAcentral